ACGUAAUGGAGUUUAGUACAGAUGCAAAUGCAGAUAAAGACAUUUAUUAAGGAGAGAGGCAAGCAGACAAAUCCAAAUCGUGAUACGAAGAUGUGGCCAAAACAGGCAAAGGGUCAGGCAAUUGGCAAAUGGGCAUAAACUGGGCUAGGCUGGAAUCAAAAUGAGGAAAUGAGAAACAAGAUCAAUAACAAGAAACAUGAAACGUGAAUUGGGAAACGAGAAACAAGAGCUAGGUAAAGAGCUAAACUCAAUACUGGGCAAUUUGCACAGAGACACGAGGGGUUUAAAUGACUAACGUAAUAAUGGGUAAACACGGACAGAUGGAAACACUAUUGACACACCUUUGGAAAACAACCAAUGACUAAACAGGUGUAGAGACAGAACAUAAUCAAAACAAAUGCACGUGUCCACAGUAAACAAUUUCACAGUCAUAAACAACCGAAAAGCGUGCGUUCGAUGAGCGCUCGCGCACCUGGCUUGUACACGCGCAUGCACUCCGGCUUUCCGAGCACGCUGCAAGCUGCAGCACUGUCUCAAAGGGAAAUCGUGACAGUUUAAAUGACAUUAAACACUGGAUGCUUAUUAGCUUCCUUCUAUAGGUGCAUCUACUUACUUGUUAUGCUAGUACUUACACUAUGGAAAAGCUGUGCACACAGAAGAUAUGACAGAGCCUUUACUAAAGAUUAGAACAAGAAAACAAGAACUGUCUUUUAGUCUCCCGGACUUGGAUUGCAUUAUUCACCUGGCUACACCUAGAGCAAUCUUAACAUCUCCAAUCUUGACUGGAACACGUAACCGACAGGAACUGCAACAGAAGUGGAGAUGUGGCAAGCGAGGGGGGCUGCAUGCUAGUAUCAGGUCGCUACUGAAUAAAAUGGAUGAGAUCUGAACCAGCAUUUCAAUUUAAAGAGAGUACAGGGACUGCUGCACUUUAACUUUUACUGAAACAUGGUUUGCCCUUUCUACCUGCCGAGGGAAUUCAGUGCUAUUUUUAUUACCUCUGUUUACAUCCAACCACAGGCAGAUACACAGACGGCACUCUGUGUUAUACAGCUCUGUAUCUCUACCGGAUGAACUCAACCUUUUUUAUGGAAGUGGUAC
This is a long non-coding RNA of Ictalurus punctatus (channel catfish), 1101 nucleotides long. The record is from Ensembl. NCBI's taxonomy places the organism in Eukaryota, Metazoa, Chordata, Actinopteri, Siluriformes, Ictaluridae.